GGGCCCCAGCCAAUCAACAAGGGCCCCAGCCAAACGCCAAGGCCUACAUCCAGCCCCCGGAGGCCCCCAGUGACUCUGGAUUGGGGCUUUAAUCUUCUCCCCCAGUGUGCUGCUGGACCUUAGAAGGAGAGGAGCGGGCGGAGAGAGACACCCCUGGAUCGAAAAGUAUAGAGGCAACAUCGUGAGGCCUGCAUGGCUGGAAGAAGAGAGCCGAGGGGUGCCAUCAGAUGUGUUGUGUGGAGGGACGUUCUGGGGACACUGAGGGCAAAGACAAAAUUCCCAGGAAAUAGGAGGCACAUGACGGCAGAGGUGGAGAGGUGGGCAGCAGUCUGUUCCUGCCGGAUAGGAGAGCGUGGUGCAGACUUCAAAGUCAUCUCACUUAAAGCCUGCUAAUUAGCACCAUGAGAAAGAAAUUCUGAAAGUCCUUGAUAAACUAUUUCUUCCCACUAUUCCCGACUGCUGCUAUACAGCCCUCCAGCUCAAGCUGGCGCUGGGUAAAGCAUUAUUGCAGCGUUGUUUAUAACAGAGGAACUUGGCGGGGACCCUUCAUGUCCACCCAUAGGACAAAGGCAGAAUCACAGAUAAACCUGCAUGUGAUGACAAGGACAUCCAGCAGUUAAAAGGAAUUCACAUGCCUGUACAUCUGAAUAGAUCCUAAAGACACUGCUGACAAAGCUCAAAGUGCAUGAGGAUAUUCAUCCCGAUCUCUAUUAGGAGGAAAUGCCUCAUGUGUAUUAACGAACAAGCAUACAGAUCUAAAAGUGUAAGGAACAGAUUGGAGGUCUGCCCUGUAGCAGUUAGAAUUAAGAAGGACCUCGGGGUUUGGAGUGGUAUUUAAGAGAACUUGAAUUUGGAGUUUUGUUUUUUUUUUAAGGCAAAUGUUAAGUUAUUGGUAUAAUUUAAAGUGAUAAAACUGAAAGUUUUUUUUUUUAAGUACUUAAUGAAUAGAGGCCUAAGCCUCUCACUGUUUAGAAACUCCACUUUCUAAACUCCACUAUUUAGAAAGUACACGAUUCAACCCUCCCUCGUUUUUUCCUUUGUCUUCAGCUCAUUGUGGGGACGCAGCUGAGACAAAGGGCCUCCAUGGGCGCUCUUCUCUGACCUCAAGUCCCACCUGCCCAUGAAAACGCUCCACUGCUUUUCAGACCUCCCCUCAGCCCUGCUGUUUCUGGGGACCCUAAGCAGAGAGUGGGAGGGUCCCUGGUGUCAUUUGGAAACGGCUGCUGGGGGCAGGGUUCGCUUCCUGGGAGGGUGGGCGGUGUCUAACUCAGCCUUUCAGAUGGACCUAGUACGUGGGUCAGAAGCCAAGGUCAAACUCGAGUAGCCCAGCCCUCCAGGGCGGGUGCAGCCAGCUUGCUUCCCCGUGCUGGGCUCUGUAAGCAGGCACGCUGCCUGCCUCGCCCCAGUGAACCUCUCCGGCCAAUUGCCCCAAGCUCUCAGGCCCAGAUGGGCAGACUCUCAGGCGGGCUGAGGUAGGACCCACAGGGAUUUGGGAACUUCGGGCCCUUUCUGCUCUGCUUGGAUUUACUAUGUUUUAAAGAGGUUUUUUUUAUUGCCCUUUUAAAACUUAAGUUUUCCUCCUGGCAAUGACUUGCGAGCAAUAUGGGUCAGCUUCUUUAGUCCACAUCUACUUUCUGGAAUUUGUGUUGAAUCAGUAUGUUGGCAGCAAUGCCACCCUCUCCAGUCCAGUCCCUGCAGUGGGAUUUGGGAUCCUUGAUGACAGCCCCUCUGUCCACAUGGGAACCCCCAAUGACCACUGCAAAAGGCUGAGUUUUUCAUGUUCUAUAUCCAGGAAAAAAAGGGAUAGAGGGGAGAGCUUGAUGAUUAUAAACUGACCCUAGAACGUCCCUCCUGUCCUUCCAG
Bos taurus (domestic cattle) is the source of this 1863-nucleotide long non-coding RNA. Lineage: Eukaryota; Metazoa; Chordata; Mammalia; Artiodactyla; Bovidae. The record is from Ensembl.